UGGACAGAUUAUUGUAUUCGACUGUAUUCAUGACGUGAAAUAGAGGAUUACACUGUUUUUAAAACGGAAAGUGAAUCAAUUAACAUAAUAUACUCCU
This 97-nucleotide microRNA precursor is filed under the name Nicotiana sylvestris (wood tobacco). Its description in RNAcentral is "MIR6152 microRNA precursor family". It matches the Rfam family "MIR6152 microRNA precursor family". The record is from Rfam by way of RNAcentral. Lineage: Eukaryota; Viridiplantae; Streptophyta; Magnoliopsida; Solanales; Solanaceae. RNAcentral also lists the same sequence under 1 other name.